UACGGGGGGGGCAAGCGUUGUUCGGAAUUACUGGGCGUAAAGGGCUCGUAGGUGGCCAACUAAGUCAGACGUGAAAUCCCCAGGCUCAACUUGGGAACUGCGUCUGAUACUGGAUGGCUUGAAUUCGGGAGAGGGAUGCGGAAUUCCAGGUGUAGCGGUGAAAUGCGUAGAUAUCUGGAGGAACACCGGUGGCGAAGGCGGCGUUCUGGACUGUAUCUGACACUGAGGAACGAAAGCCAGGGGAGCAAACGGG
RNAcentral lists this ribosomal RNA (253 nucleotides) under uncultured bacterium. RNAcentral's name for it is "partial 16S ribosomal RNA". It matches the Rfam family "Bacterial small subunit ribosomal RNA", at positions 524 to 776 of the family's 1533-position model. The record is from RNAcentral.